GGGGGUAUAGCUCAGCUGGGAGAGCAGCAGACUGAAGUUCCCACCAGGGUACGUAGUUGGCAUUCUGAAGGUCCCGCGUUCGAUCCGCGGUACCCCCA
Molecule: non-coding RNA, 98 nt
Organism: Stygiomarasmius scandens
Lineage: Eukaryota; Fungi; Basidiomycota; Agaricomycetes; Agaricales; Campanellaceae
Source: the annotation of a GenBank genome assembly